RNAcentral lists this ribosomal RNA (501 nucleotides) under uncultured bacterium. RNAcentral describes it as "partial 16S ribosomal RNA". It matches the Rfam family "Bacterial small subunit ribosomal RNA", at positions 30 to 523 of the family's 1533-position model. The record is from RNAcentral.
AUUGAACGCUGGCGGCAGGCUUAACACAUGCAAGUCGAGCGGGGGAAGGUAGCUUGCUACCGGACCUAGCGGCGGACGGGUGAGUAAUGCUUAGGAAUCUGCCUAUUAGUGGGGGACAACAUCUCGAAAGGGAUGCUAAUACCGCAUACGUCCUACGGGAGAAAGCAGGGGAUCUUCGGACCUUGCGCUAAUAGAUGAGCCUAAGUCGGAUUAGCUAGUUGGUGGGGUAAAGGCCUACCAAGGCGACGAUCUGUAGCGGGUCUGGGAGGAUGAUCCGCCACACUGGGACUGGGAAACGGCCCAGACUCCUACGGGAGGCAGCAGUGGGGAAUAUUGGACAAUGGGGGGAACCCUGAUCCAGCCAUGCCGCGUGUGUGAAGAAGGCCUUAUGGUUGUAAAGCACUUUAAGCGAGGAGGAGGCUACUCUAGUUAAUACCUAGGGAUAGUGGACGUUACUCGCAGAAUAAGCACCGGCUAACUCUGUGCCAGCCGCCGCCGUAA